This 301-nucleotide ribosomal RNA is filed under the name uncultured bacterium. RNAcentral's name for it is "partial 16S ribosomal RNA". It matches the Rfam family "Bacterial small subunit ribosomal RNA", at positions 509 to 807 of the family's 1533-position model. The record is from RNAcentral.
CAGCAGCCACGGUAAUACGUAGGUCCCGAGCGUUGUCCGGAUUUAUUGGGCGUAAAGCGAGCGCAGGCGGUUUUGUAAGACAGAUGUGAAAUCCCCGGGCUCAACCUGGGAACUGCAUUUGUAACUGGCAAGCUAGAGUGUGGCAGAGGGGGGUGGAAUUCCGCGUGUAGCAGUGAAAUGCGUAGAUAUGCGGAGGAACACCGAUGGCGAAGGCAGCCCCCUGGACCAACACUGACGCUCAUGCACGAAAGCGUGGGGAGCAAACAGGAUUAGAUACCCCCGUAGUCCCUGUCUCUUAUAC